RNAcentral lists this ribosomal RNA (680 nucleotides) under uncultured Actinomycetes bacterium. RNAcentral describes it as "bacterial SSU rRNA". It matches the Rfam family "Bacterial small subunit ribosomal RNA", at positions 726 to 1408 of the family's 1533-position model. Lineage: Bacteria; Bacillati; Actinomycetota; Actinomycetes. The record is from RNAcentral.
UCUCUGGGCCGUAACUGACGCUGAGGAGCGAAAGCGUGGGGAGCGAACAGGAUUAGAUACCCUGGUAGUCCACGCCGUAAACGUUGGGCGCUAGAUGUGGGGACCAUUCCACGGUUUCCGUGUCGCAGCUAACGCAUUAAGCGCCCCGCCUGGGGAGUACGGCCGCAAGGCUAAAACUCAAAGGAAUUGACGGGGGCCCGCACAAGCGGCGGAGCAUGCGGAUUAAUUCGAUGCAACGCGAAGAACCUUACCAAGGCUUGACAUAUACGUGAACGCUCUAGAAAUAGAGAACUCUUUGGACACUCGUAUACAGGUGGUGCAUGGUUGUCGUCAGCUCGUGUCGUGAGAUGUUGGGUUAAGUCCCGCAACGAGCGCAACCCUCGUUCCAUGUUGCCAGCGGUUCGGCCGGGAACUCAUAGGAGACUGCCGGGGUCAACUCGGAGGAAGGUGGGGAUGACGUCAAAUCAUCAUGCCCCUUAUGUCUUGGGCUUCACGCAUGCUACAAUGGCCGGUACAAAGGGCUGCAAUACCGUAAGGUGGAGCGAAUCCCAAAAAGCCGGUCUCAGUUCGGAUUGAGGUCUGCAACUCGACCUCAUGAAGUCGGAGUCGCUAGUAAUCGCAGAUCAGCAACGCUGCGGUGAAUACGUUCCCGGGUCUUGUACACACCGACAAGCUGAUAG